RNAcentral lists this ribosomal RNA (398 nucleotides) under uncultured bacterium. RNAcentral's name for it is "bacterial SSU rRNA". It matches the Rfam family "Bacterial small subunit ribosomal RNA", at positions 28 to 429 of the family's 1533-position model. The record is from RNAcentral.
GACGAACGCUGGCGGCGUGCUUAACACAUGCAAGUCGAGCGGUAAGGCCCUUUCGGGGGUACACGAGCGGCGAACGGGUGAGUAACACGUGGGUGACCUGCCUUUAGCUCUGGGAUAAGCCUGGGAAACUGGGUCUAAUACCGGAUAUGACUCCAUGACGCAUGUUGUGGGGUGGAAAGCCUUGUGCGGCUAGGGAUGGGCCCGCGGCCUAUCAGCUUGUUGGUGGGGUGAUGGCCUACCAAGGCGACGACGGGUAGCCGGCCUGAGAGGGCGACCGGCCACACUGGGACUGAGACACGGCCCAGACUCCUACGGGAGGCAGCAGUGGGGAAUCUUGCGCAAUGGGCGAAAGCCUGACGCAGCGACGCCGCGUGAGGGAUGACGGCCUCGGUUGUAAC